RNAcentral lists this ribosomal RNA (705 nucleotides) under Chryseobacterium sp. JA33. Its description in RNAcentral is "bacterial SSU rRNA". It matches the Rfam family "Bacterial small subunit ribosomal RNA", at positions 77 to 782 of the family's 1533-position model. Lineage: Bacteria; Pseudomonadati; Bacteroidota; Flavobacteriia; Flavobacteriales; Weeksellaceae. The record is from RNAcentral.
UCUUCGGAGACUUGAGAGCGGCGCACGGGUGCGGAACACGUGUGCAACCUGCCUUUAUCUGGGGGAUAGCCUUUCGAAAGGAAGAUUAAUACCCCAUAAUAUACUGGAUGGCAUCAUCUGGUAUUGAAAACUCCGGUGGAUAGAGAUGGGCACGCGCAAGAUUAGAUAGUUGGUGAGGUAACGGCUCACCAAGUCAGCGAUCUUUAGGGGGCCUGAGAGGGUGAUCCCCCACACUGGUACUGAGACACGGACCAGACUCCUACGGGAGGCAGCAGUGAGGAAUAUUGGACAAUGGGUGAGAGCCUGAUCCAGCCAUCCCGCGUGAAGGACGACGGCCCUAUGGGUUGUAAACUUCUUUUGUAUAGGGAUAAACCUAGAUACGUGUAUCUAGCUGAAGGUACUAUACGAAUAAGCACCGGCUAACUCCGUGCCAGCAGCCGCGGUAAUACGGAGGGUGCAAGCGUUAUCCGGAUUUAUUGGGUUUAAAGGGUCCGUAGGCGGAUCUGUAAGUCAGUGGUGAAAUCUCACAGCUUAACUGUGAAACUGCCAUUGAUACUGCAGGUCUUGAGUGUUGUUGAAGUAGCUGGAAUAAGUAGUGUAGCGGUGAAAUGCAUAGAUAUUACUUAGAACACCAAUUGCGAAGGCAGGUUACUAAGCAACAACUGACGCUGAUGGACGAAAGCGUGGGGAGCGAACAGGAUUAGA